UUAUCGGAGAGUUUGAUCCUGGCUCAGGACGAACGCUGGCGGCGUGCCUAAUACAUGCAAGUCGAGCGGACAGAUGGGAGCUUGCUCCCUGAUGUUAGCGGCGGACGG
RNAcentral lists this ribosomal RNA (108 nucleotides) under Bacillus amyloliquefaciens. Its description in RNAcentral is "partial 16S ribosomal RNA". It matches the Rfam family "Bacterial small subunit ribosomal RNA", at positions 1 to 105 of the family's 1533-position model. The record is from RNAcentral. RNAcentral also lists the same sequence under 6 other names. Lineage: Bacteria; Bacillati; Bacillota; Bacilli; Caryophanales; Bacillaceae.